AAUGAACGCUGGCGGCAGGCCUAACACAUGCAAGUCGAACGAAGCCUUCGGGCUUAGUGGCGGACGGGUGAGUAACGCGUGGGAACAUACCCUUUGGUACGGAAUAGCCUCGGGAAACUGGGAGUAAUACCGUAUGUGCCCUUCGGGGGAAGAUUUAUCGCCAAAGGAUUGGCCCGCGUUGGAUUAGGUAGUUGGUGGGGUAAUGGCCUACCAAGCCGACGAUCCAUAGCUGGUUUGAGAGGAUGAUCAGCCACACUGGGACUGAGACACGGCCCAGACUCCUACGGGAGGCAGCAGUGGGGAAUCUUAGACAAUGGGCGCAAGCCUGAUCUAGCCAUGCCGCGUGAUCGAUGAAGGCCUUAGGGUUGUAAAGAUCUUUCAGAUGGGAAGAUAAUGACGGUACCAUCAGAAGAAGCCCCGGCUAACUCCGUGCCAGCAGCCGCGGU
This 446-nucleotide ribosomal RNA is filed under the name uncultured bacterium. RNAcentral's name for it is "bacterial SSU rRNA". It matches the Rfam family "Bacterial small subunit ribosomal RNA", at positions 29 to 521 of the family's 1533-position model. The record is from RNAcentral.